AAUAGAUACCCGGGUAGUCCACGCCGUAAACUAUGGAUGCUAGCUGUUAGAAGUAUCGACCCUUCUAGUAGCGAAGCUAACGCGUUAAGCAUCCCACCUGUGGAGUACGGUCGCAAGACUAAAACAUAAAGGAAUUGACGGGGACCCGCACAAGCGGUGGAGCGUGUUGUUUAAUUCGAUGGUAAGCGAAGAACCUUACCCAGGCUUGACAUCCUACUAAGGCUUCCGAAAGGAAACUGUGCCUUCGGGAAAGUAGUGACAGGUGUUGCAUGGCCGUCGUCAGCUCGUGUCGUGAGAUGUUUGGUUAAGUCCAUCAACGAGCGCAACCCUUGUAGUUAGUUGAAUUUUUCUAGCUAGACUGCCCUGGUAACAGGGAGGAAGGGGGGAUGAUGUCAGGUCAGUAUUACCCUUACGUCUGGGGCUACAAACACGCUACAAUGGCCAGUACAAAGGGCAGCCAACCCGCGAGGGGGAGCAAAUCCCAUCAAAGCUGGUCUCAGUUCGGAUAGCAGGCUGAAACUCGCCUGCUUGAAGCUGGAAUCGCUAGUAAC
RNAcentral lists this ribosomal RNA (551 nucleotides) under uncultured bacterium. Its description in RNAcentral is "bacterial SSU rRNA". It matches the Rfam family "Bacterial small subunit ribosomal RNA", at positions 777 to 1342 of the family's 1533-position model. The record is from RNAcentral.